Molecule: long non-coding RNA, 1342 nt
Organism: Columba livia (rock pigeon)
Lineage: Eukaryota; Metazoa; Chordata; Aves; Columbiformes; Columbidae
Exons: 3
Source: RefSeq, a predicted model, not a curated record
GUAGGGCGCCAGGGCAGAGCGGCAACACGCCAAUUAGAUUCAAGGGCAGCAGCACUGCCCGCAAACGUGGGGGGUGUCAGCGUGCAGUGCUCUGCCGGGAGGACACGGGGUUCGGCAGCACCCCGCUGGCCACCCAAGCACAGCAGGAGCCGCGGUGGGGAGGACAGGCUGACGGUUUUCUGAGAGAAAGGCCGGGGGACGUGAGAAAGAGGAGCAGGAGGAGGAGCAGGGCAAGGGGGAGGGGGGGAGCAGGCGCUGUUCCGGGCCAGCAGGUCCGGCCUGAGCCAGUUCGAGCCGGUUUGCGCCAGUUGGGGCUAUGGAAGGAGACAACAGCCGCUGAAGACACCGCCUGCAUCCGGGCGGGCGGUACUCUCCGGACUGGAUCACGCAGAACCCUCGGAGCGGGGUUCCGCGCCACGUCCCCCCGCGCAGUCGCCGCUGGCAGCGGCCGCUCUAGGCACGCCGCUGCCUGGAGCUGCCUCUAGGCGGGAAUCCAUCCCUGUGUUUCUGUCUCGCCCCGCGCGGCCUCAGGCUGCCGGAGGGGCAGGGAGGCCUCCGGUGUCAGCAGGGGAAAAAAAGCAAAGUGCCUAUGUCCGUCCUCUCAGAAGGUUUGCCUGCCUCAGUCUUCCAUUUUCCUUCUCUGCUGACAACACAGAUUAUGUGAAAACUCAAGAGAUACUUAGUCAUGCAAAAGUGGCACAUCUGUUGGUAGCAGGAUGUUAAGAUGUGUGAAGCCCUUUCAAAUUAUCCGUCAAACUUGCAUAAAGCAAGCAUCCUAGGCAGUCCUUGCCUCAGAAAUGUGCUGAUCAGGAUGCUUGGAGCAGGACAUCAGGUGGAUGUAGACAGGCUGGCAAAGGAGGUAAGGAGUAGGGAGUUAAUGAACUGCUACUGACCAGUGAGAUAAAUAGUGGUCUCACCAAUACAUUAAUCACAUUUCUUGCAUCCACAUCAGGCAUACUACAGCCAAGGACUGAGCGUGGUUGUUGCUCAUAACUCUGACAUGUUUGUGAACUGGACUAUGGCCAAAAACCAGGACUAAACCAAGAUGCAUGUCUUGGUUACUCUCCAGCCUGUUGAUGCCCAAAAGUGUAAAGAAAAGACUUAAUUUAAAUGCAAAAAGGGACAGGAACUAGGUAUGGGAGGUAGAAAGACAUGAGGCAUCCCAGGGAUACAAAUAGGAGAGCAGAAGGCAACAGAGAAAGCAGAGACUGUGAUUUAAUAUGGCAAUACAGUAGACUGGCUGGUCAAGAAAAUUAGGUGGAGAACUGAGGAAGAAGUGGAGUCUGGAGUUCUUGAGCUGUUGGGCCUAGCCUUAUACAGGGAUAAUAUAUGCUAUGAAAGU